CAUGAAUCGGUAGGCAAAUCCGCCGAUGAUCUGAGGCACGAUAGUACAGGGUUUUGCAUGCAAGACCCUGAUAAUGUCCCCAAGUAAGCUUCCAAGAAAACCCGCUAAGCUUCAGGUAUACAGAGCCCGUACCGCAAACCGACACAGGUAGUCGAGGAGAGUAUCCUAAGGCGCUCGAGUGAAUCAUGGCUAAGGAAUUAGGCAAAAUGGCCUCGUAACUUCGGGAGAAGAGGCGCUCCGUGUAAAAAUGGAGCCGCAGUGAAAAGGCCCAGGCGACUGUUUAGCAAAAACACAGGACUCUGCGAAAUCGUAAGAUGAAGUAUAGGGUCUGACACCUGCCCGGUGCUGGAAGGUUAAGGAAGGUGCUUAGCGCAAGCGAAGGUAUUGACUGAAGCCCCAGUAAACGGCGGCCGUAACUAUAACGGUCCUAAGGUAGCGAAAUUCCUUGUCGGGUAAGUUCCGACCUGCACGAAUGGUGUAACGAUCUGGGCACUGUCUCAGCCAUGAGCUCGGUGAAAUUGAAGUAUCGGUGAAGAUGCCGGUUACCCGCAGUGGGACGAAAAGACCCCGUGCACCUUUACUAUAGCUUCACAUUGAGCUUGAGUAUAAGAUGUGUAGGAUAGGUGGGAGACUAUGAAGUUGUCACGCUAGUGGUGAUGGAGUCGCCGUUGAAAUACCACCCUUCUUAUGCUUAGGUUCUAAUCCCAUGAAAGUGGGAGACAUUGUGUGGUGGGUAGUUUGACUGGGGUGGUCGCCUCCAAAAGAGUAACGGAGGCUCGCAAAGGUUCCCUCAGCAUGGUCGGUAAUCAUGCGAAGAGCGUAUUAGUAUAAGGGAGCUUGACUGGGAUACCGACGGGUCGAUCAGGGACGUAAGUCGGCUAAAGUGAUCCGGUGGUUCCGUAUGGAAGGGCCAUCGCUCAAAGGAUAAAAGGUACGCCGGGGAUAACAGGCUUAUCUCCCCCAAGAGCUCACAUCGACGGGGAGGUUUGGCACCUCGAUGUCCUCGUCACAUCCUGGGGCUGGAGAAGGUCCCAAGGGUUGGGCUGUUCGCCCAUUAAAGUGGCACGCGAGCUGGGUUCAGAACGUCGCAAGACAGUUCGGUCUCUAUCUACUGUGGGCGUAGGAAUAUUGAGAAGAUCUGACACUAGUACGAGAGGACCGUGUUGGACAUACCUCUAGUGUACCAGUUAUGCCGCCAGGUGUACCGCUGGGUAGCUAUGUAUGGAACGGAUAAGCGCUGAAAGCAUCUAAGCGCGAAGCCAACUUCAAGAUGAGUAUUCCAUUGUCGCAAGACUAAAAGGGUUGUUGCAGAUGACGACGUUGAUAGGCUACAGGUGGAAGUGCAGUGAUGUAUGGAGCCGAGUAGUACUAAUUACCCGAAUGCUUCCU
Molecule: ribosomal RNA, 1389 nt
Filed under: metagenome
Description: bacterial LSU rRNA
Rfam family: Bacterial large subunit ribosomal RNA
Source: RNAcentral